Molecule: ribosomal RNA, 427 nt
Filed under: uncultured Pseudomonadota bacterium
Lineage: Bacteria; Pseudomonadati; Pseudomonadota
Description: bacterial SSU rRNA
Rfam family: Bacterial small subunit ribosomal RNA
Source: RNAcentral
GGGGAAUAUUGGACAAUGGGGGGAACCCUGAUCCAGCCAUGCCGCGUGUGUGAAGAAGGCCUUAUGGUUGUAAAGCACUUUAAGCGAGGAGGAGGCUCUUUUGGUUAAUACCCAAGAUGAGUGGACGUUACUCGCAGAAUAAGCACCGGCUAACUCUGUGCCAGCAGCCGCGGUAAUACAGAGGGUGCGAGCGUUAAUCGGAUUUACUGGGCGUAAAGCGUGCGUAGGCGGCUUUUUAAGUCGGAUGUGAAAUCCCCGAGCUUAACUUGGGAACUGCGCUUGUGACUGCAAGACUAGAGUACGGCAGAGGGGGGUGGAAUUCCACGUGUAGCAGUGAAAUGCGUAGAGAUGUGGAGGAACACCAAUUGCGAAGGCAGCCCCCUGGGUCGAUACUGACGCUCAUGCACGAAAGCGUGGGGAGCAAACA